This 464-nucleotide ribosomal RNA is filed under the name uncultured bacterium. RNAcentral's name for it is "bacterial SSU rRNA". It matches the Rfam family "Bacterial small subunit ribosomal RNA", at positions 355 to 822 of the family's 1533-position model. The record is from RNAcentral.
UAGGGAAUAUUGGACAAUGGGUGAGAGCCUGAUCCAGCCAUGCCGCGUGCAGGAAGAAGGCGUUAUGCGUUGUAAACUGCUUUUUGCCAGGGGAUAAAAAGACCGUGCGCGGUUAAUUGAAGGUACCUGGAGAAUAAGCCCCGGCAAACUUCGUGCCAGCAGCCGCGGUAAUACGAAGGGGGCUAGCGUUGUUCGGAAUUACUGGGCGUAAAGCGCACGUAGGCGGAUUGUUAAGUCAGAGGUGAAAUCCCGGAGCUCAACUUCGGAACUGCCUUUGAUACUGGCAAUCUAGAGUCCGGAAGAGGUUAGUGGAAUUCCCAGUGUAGAGGUGAAAUUCGUAGAUAUUGGGAAGAACACCAGUGGCGAAGGCGGCUAACUGGUCCGGUACUGACGCUGAGGUGCGAAAGCGUGGGGAGCAAACAGGAUUAGAUACCCUCGUAGUCCCUGAGCGGGCUGGCAAGGCG